GUAUGGUGCAAGCGUUAUCCGGAUUUACUGGGUGUAAAGGGAGCGUAGACGGCUGUGUAAGUCUGAAGUGAAAGCCCGGGGGCUCAACCCCGGGACUGCCUUGGAAACUAUGCAGCUAGAGUGUCGGAGAGGUAAGUGGAAUUCCCAGUGUAGCGGUGAAAUGCGUAGAUAUUGGGAGGAACACCAGUGGCGAAGGCGGCUUACUGGACGAUGACUGACGUUGAGGCUCGAAAGCGUGGGGAGCAAACAGGAUUAGAUACCCUGGUAGUCCACGCCGUAAACGAUGACUACUAGGUGUCGGGGAGCAAAGCUCUUCGGUGCCGCAGCAAGCGCAAUAAGUAGUCCACCUGGGGAGUACGUUCGCAAGAAUG
This 371-nucleotide ribosomal RNA is filed under the name uncultured bacterium. RNAcentral describes it as "bacterial SSU rRNA". It matches the Rfam family "Bacterial small subunit ribosomal RNA", at positions 527 to 896 of the family's 1533-position model. The record is from RNAcentral.